GUAACUAUACUUGUAUUUAAACUACUAAAUAGGUGUAGGGGAAAGGAGCUGUAUGCAACCUUUAUGUUUGUAUACAGCAGAUCUGUUGUUCUCUCCUCUCUGAUGGUUUUCUGCCAUGUAAGACAACUUUUUAGGAAUUGUGAUUUGAAAAAAAAAAACUACUUAAAAGAUCUCUGUAAAAUAAAUAUAAAUAUAUCAAAUGUAUACAUUUAUUAUUGGAACAAUAACAAUCUAUACGUCCUCUUGAGCCAUAGAAAAUUAACUCACCAGCUAAUUAAUUAUGUACACCUGUACACAGUAUACCAAUCUUCUGAAGGUUGCUUCCAGCAGGAUAAUGCACCAAAAAAGUUCAGCUCAAACCAUCCCCAUCCCCUGAAAGAUCAAACCAUCUCAAAUUCGUUUCUUGAACAUGGCAGCCAGUUCACUGUAGCAACUGUGUGAUGCUAUCAUGUCACUAUAGACCAAAAUCUCUGAGGAAUGCCUUCAGCACCUUGUGCUGAAGGCAAAUGGGGAUCCAAACAAGUGCUUGCAAGAACAACGGGAUGCCAGACUCUCCUUCUACAUCAACAGCCUGCUACUUUUUCCAUGUGGACUAAAACCAUCUGUCAGAAAACUAGAGGAGGAAAUCUGUUUAUGUACAUAAACAAAGAUCUUCCUGGACCCCUGCCAUGUUUGCGUGAGUGAGAGUGAGUCACUGCGAGGGAUUGGACUGAGUGUGUUUUGAGUCACAGAUGGUACGAAGAGGAGUGUGAAUGUGUUACCCCUGCCCUGGACCUCUCCCUUGGAAUCCCUGGAGCCCUCAUCCCCUGAUCACUGUAUAUGUGUAUAUAAUUCACCUGAUAUUGUAAAUAAAUCUCCCUUUGAUUGCACAGCUCCGAGUCCUGCAUCUGAGUCCUGCCUUAAUCCAACGUGACAGAACAAUCUAGCCACGAUGGACUCAGCAGACGACUCAGUACGCCGGGCCGGGUGUCACGAGCAGAUGCUGCUCCACAUCAAUAAGGAACUAACUGCUCUCACACAAGCCCUAGCUCCGCGUACUCCACUGGUAAGCUCACCUCCAACCCUUCUCC
Long non-coding RNA from Oreochromis aureus, 1070 nucleotides. Lineage: Eukaryota; Metazoa; Chordata; Actinopteri; Cichliformes; Cichlidae. The record is from Ensembl.